GCAAACUCUCCUCUCAAACUCCAUCUUCUGGAGCAGGGCAGUGAGCUGCGCCGCACCCUCUUUCCCGCUUGCUACCUCUGAGCGGCUGCGGAUGGUGAGGCUUAGGCGGCCAACACAGGCAGCAAGUGGCGCUUAGCACUGAGCACCCAGCCAAUGCUGUUGUGCCUCUUUCCUUCAGGAGGCGGCGGUGCAGAGCCUAAGCCCGAGCCCGAGCCCCAACACGAGCCAGAGCCCCAGCCCGAGCCGAGCCCAAGCAGGAGCUCAAGAUCAAGCUGGAGUCCAAGCCCCAACCGGAGCCCAAGCCCGAGCCCAAUCGGAGCCCGAGCCGGAGCCAGAGCCCGAGCCGAGAUGGGUCUCGCCUUUCUUGGAAGCCUUUUGAGUCAGCAGGCGACGUCGCCCGAGGCUCCGCCUCCGCUCCUCCCCAAGCAAAGUAACAAAGUAACUGAGGAGCAGCCUCUGCCGAGUGAGCAGAGCUGCGGCUGUGGGCAGCCAGCCGCACAGAAGACCCUUUGGGCCCCGAGGUAGUUUGGUUUCUUUGAAGAGGAAAGAGGGGUUGGCGGGCAGCUGUGGAGGCUCCGCCCUGAGCCUGCGAGGCCCAGCUUGCUACUCCCUGGUGGAUUCCACAGCCACCACCACCCCCCCACCCCACCCCCACCCCCGCAACUCUUUGCAAAGCUGCUUGAAAAGUCUCCACAUGGAUUUGGUGGCAGCGGCGGCGGCACUGUCUGCUUUUGUGGCGCUCUUGUUUCUCUCCCUUUGGCCUCUUCUGGGGCCAGACCAAGGCCAGUUCUCUGCAGCUGAGUGUCCCUGGUGGCUUGCGGGUGGGUUGGGCGUCCGGCGCCCCGACGAAUGACCCCAGCCCCAGCCCCGGGAUUGUGCGAUGUGGAGCUGGCUCCUUGUCUGGGCGGGGAGCAAGGAUUUGGGGAAACUUUCGCGGCCCUCUGAGGUGAGGUGGUCACAGGGUAGAAGAAGAGAUGACCUGGAGUUUGUGUCACAUGGGACGCAGGACACUGAGCUGGGCUCCACUUGGCGCAGAUUUAUAUUUAGAUUUAAAAAGGCAUGUGGAGCUGAAGAUGGAUCAGGCUUUGCUACUCAUCCAUAAUGAACUACUGGGAACAAACUUGAGUCUUUAAUGGAAAUCGGAACGCUGUUACCGUGCUGGAAUACAAAAUUUGGAGAAUUUGGAAACUAUUCUGUCUUGGUAAAGGACUCUUACAAUGGAGUUGAUGAAAUUUUGUGUGACCUAGUUGUUAAUAAGAAUCCAGUUGACAGUGACCUUCGUAUGUAUAUACUCUUUGUUGAUUUUUUUUUAAUUUGCAUUUUCAGAGCUUUUAGUUUCUGAGUAAUCUUUGUAAAGUGAAGCAGUCUAUGGCAUGUAAAUGGAAACCUGGUUUACAGAUAUCUAGACCAUUUAGUUACAGUAUAGUUAUAUUUUUCUUUGAUGCUAAAAAUAGAAGAGGACUUGUGUAUGCUAGUAAACCCUCUACCACCGAGUUAUAUCCCCAAGCCCAAUUGUAAACCUUCAAUUGUGUCAUUGAUGUACACUAAGAAAAUUAGGUGAUAUAUUAAAAAUUGUAUAAUAUGUUAACACAUCCCCAUAUCAUUGUUAAGCUUAAUUACGAACAUAAAUAAAACAAAAAAGUUAAUUCAAUAGAAAGAAAUAAGAAAUAAGAUAAAGGGCUUUCCUUGUUUUAGGAUUUAGGGUAUAGUGCUUCCUGUAUAUAUCUCCUGAUGUGAGCCUAGAGGACCCCUUACAUUAGAAGGGAUCCCAGAGAUUCCUUUACAUUAAGAAGCAAUCAUUCAUUCUAUAGUAAUUCUAUUGAAGAAAAUCUGUCAUCCUGAGCUCCCCUUAGAUAAUUGUUAUCCUGUCUUCCAAGAAACAGUAAUGAAUCCUGGUGGCACUAAUAUAUACUGUUCACAGAGAACUAUUGGAGACCAAACUGAAAAAGAAUAUAGAAGACAAUAUGAAAGGGCCAAUGUGGGACAAUUUUAAGCAUUAAAAAUAAAAACAAAUGUUAUUGAUGAAAAAUAAUGGAUACAUAAAAACUAUGGGGUCAUUAUCCCUCCCCAAUUAAAAACAAAAACAAAGUAAUGCUUUGGUUGUCUUUAGAGGUAACUAAGGCACUUGACGUUGACUAGGGUGAUUAAAAAUAUCAGUUGAAAAGACAGAUUUAAACAGUAUCCUAUUUUAACUGUAAUUGAAAAAGAUAAUUAAA
Molecule: long non-coding RNA, 2216 nt
Organism: Marmota monax (woodchuck)
Lineage: Eukaryota; Metazoa; Chordata; Mammalia; Rodentia; Sciuridae
Exons: 3
Source: RefSeq, a predicted model, not a curated record